RNAcentral lists this microRNA precursor (92 nucleotides) under Canis lupus dingo (dingo). Its description in RNAcentral is "mir-8799 microRNA precursor family". It matches the Rfam family "mir-8799 microRNA precursor family". Lineage: Eukaryota; Metazoa; Chordata; Mammalia; Carnivora; Canidae. The record is from Rfam by way of RNAcentral.
CGGGGGAGGCCGGAUCCUGGGCUGUGUCCCCGGGCACCUGUGUUCCCGGGCCUGCUCUGUUGGAUUUGCGCUCCCGGGCCGCGCAGCCCCCU